This 253-nucleotide ribosomal RNA is filed under the name uncultured bacterium. RNAcentral describes it as "partial 16S ribosomal RNA". It matches the Rfam family "Bacterial small subunit ribosomal RNA", at positions 524 to 776 of the family's 1533-position model. The record is from RNAcentral.
UACGGAAGUGGCUAGAGUUGUUCGGAAUUACUGGGCGUAAAGAGCGCGUAGGCGGCUUACCAAGUUGGGGGUGAAAUCCCGGAGCUCAACUCCGGAACUGCCUUCAAAACUGGUAGGCUCGAGUCCGGAAGAGGGGCGUGGAAUUCCCAGUGUAGAGGUGAAAUUCGUAGAUAUUGGGAAGAACACUGGUGGCGAAGGCGGCGCCCUGGUCCGGUACUGACGCUGAGGCGCGAAAGCGUGGGGAGCAAACAGG